GAAAGAUUCCCCUAGUAACGGCGCGUGAAGCGGGAAGAGCUCAAGCUUAAAAUCUCUGCGCGAGUUUCGUGCGGCGAAUUGUAGUCUAUAGAUGCGUGGUCAGCGUUGGCGCUCGGGGCAAGUUCCUUGGAAGAGGACAGCAUGGAGGGUGAUACUCCCGUUCAUCUCUGAGUGGCUGGUGCGUACGACCCGUUUUCUUUGAGUCGCGUUGUUUGGGAAUGCAGCGCAAAGUAGGUGGUAAAUUCCAUCUAAAGCUAAAUAUUGGUGCGAGACCGAUAGCGAACAAGUACCGUGAGGGAAAGAUGAAAAGAACUUUGAAAAGAGAGUUAAAGAGUACCUGAAACUGCUGAAAGGGAACCGAAUCGUUUCCAGUGUCUAUAAUCCGCGGCAUAUUUCAUCGGCGAGUGUGUGCGUGCGCGUGCUUUGGCAGUGGCUUUUGUGGCUGCGCUGGGCGUGUGCUGUGCGUGUGUUUGCUGGUGCCCUGUGUUGCGGUGGGACGUCAAGGUCAGUUCGUGUGCUGCGGGAAAUGGCUGCCGAGGAGGUAGGGCUUACGCUCCGCGUUUGUCUGUUAUAUCUUGGUGGACGAGUCGUCGUGGUUGGGACUGAGGUGCCUACAACGUGCUUUUGAGUGAGUGUGCGUCUCUGUGCGCUUGCUGUGCGGAUAGCUUGCUAUGCGUGUGGCGUAGUGUUUGGAUGGAUGUGCGCUUUUGCUUGUUGCGCGUUCGGGACGUGACGAAAUGCAGCGAUCGACU
Molecule: ribosomal RNA, 752 nt
Filed under: Phytophthora polonica
Lineage: Eukaryota; Oomycota; Peronosporomycetes; Peronosporales; Peronosporaceae
Description: eukaryotic LSU rRNA
Rfam family: Eukaryotic large subunit ribosomal RNA
Source: RNAcentral